Molecule: long non-coding RNA, 205 nt
Filed under: Gossypium barbadense (sea-island cotton)
Lineage: Eukaryota; Viridiplantae; Streptophyta; Magnoliopsida; Malvales; Malvaceae
Description: long non-coding RNA (GBAR_LNC009626)
Source: RNAcentral
AUUAAUUAAAAUUUUUAAACCUAAACCUUAACUAAAAAAACAGUUCAUCUCCUCUUUUUUAUUUUUCUUUUAUCUCUUCUUUUUUUCAAUGGUUUUUUUUUUCAUUUGACUGUAAAAACUAUUAUUAAUAUCAAAAUAGUUGAAAUUAAAUUAACCGCUUCAUAAAAAUGAAUUCAAUGGAGGGUUCAGGCAUGUCUUAUUUGCA